UACGUAGGCAGCGAGCGUUGUUCGGAGUUAUUGGGCGUAAAGGGCGCGUAGGCGGCCUGGCAAGUGGAUGGUGAAAUCCCUCGGCUUAACCGAGGAACUGCCAUCCAGACUGCUUGGCUUGAGACCGGGAGAGGUGAGUGGAAUUCCCAGUGUAGCGGUGAAAUGCGUAGAUAUUGGGAGGAACACCAGUGGCGAAGGCGGCUCACUGGACCGGUACUGACGCUGAGGCGCGAAAGCGUGGGGAGCAAACGGG
Molecule: ribosomal RNA, 253 nt
Filed under: uncultured bacterium
Lineage: Bacteria
Description: partial 16S ribosomal RNA
Rfam family: Bacterial small subunit ribosomal RNA
Source: RNAcentral